Molecule: unclassified non-coding RNA, 200 nt
Filed under: Hannaella sp.
Lineage: Eukaryota; Fungi; Basidiomycota; Tremellomycetes; Tremellales; Bulleribasidiaceae
Description: partial internal transcribed spacer 2
Source: RNAcentral
UUAAGUUCAGCGGGUAGUCCUACCUGAUUUGAGGUCUAACAUAAGAGUUAUUAGAGUGGAGGGAGCGAAAACUUAUUACGCAUUCCACUUAGACAUUUAGGACGAGCCAUCGCUGGCAGCAUCCAAAGCUCAUACAUAGAAAACUAGGUAUGAGAAGUCAUAUGACACUCAAACAGGCAUGCCUUUCGGAAUACCAAAAG